CCUACGGGUGGCUGCAGUGAGGAAUAUUGGUCAAUGGCCGUAAGGCUGAACCAGCCAAGUCGCGUGAAGGAAGAAGGACCUAUGGUUUGUAAACUUCUUUUAUAGGGGAAUAAAGGUAUCCACGUGUGGCUAUUUGCAUGUACCCUAUGAAUAAGCAUCGGCUAACUCCGUGCCAGCAGCCGCGGUAAUACGGAGGAUGCGAGCGUUAUCCGGAUUUAUUGGGUUUAAAGGGUGCGUAGGUUGUUUUUUAAGUCAGCGGUGAAAGUUUGUGGCUCAACCCGAAAAUUGCCGUUGAAACUGGACGGCUAGAGUGUGUUAGAGGGAGGUGGAAUGCGUGGUGUAGCGGUGAAAUGCAUAGAGAUCACGCAGAACUCCGAUUGCGAAGGCAGCUUACUAGGCCAUAACUGACACUGAAGUACGAAAGCGUGGGGAGCAAACAGGAUUAGAUACCCUUGUAGUC
This 460-nucleotide ribosomal RNA is filed under the name uncultured bacterium. RNAcentral's name for it is "partial 16S ribosomal RNA". It matches the Rfam family "Bacterial small subunit ribosomal RNA", at positions 338 to 795 of the family's 1533-position model. The record is from RNAcentral.